This 480-nucleotide ribosomal RNA is filed under the name uncultured bacterium. Its description in RNAcentral is "bacterial SSU rRNA". It matches the Rfam family "Bacterial small subunit ribosomal RNA", at positions 923 to 1375 of the family's 1533-position model. The record is from RNAcentral.
GCACAAGCGGUGGAGCAUGUGGUGCACAAGCGGUGGAGCAUGUGGUUCAAUUCGAAGCAACGCGAAGAACCUUACCAGCCCUUGACAUGCCACGACGGUUUCCAGAGAUGGACUCCUCCCCGCAAGGGGCGUGGACACAGGUGCUGCAUGGCUGUCGUCAGCUCGUGUCGUGAGAUGUUGGGUUAAGUCCCGCAACGAGCGCAACCCUCGCCCUUAGUUGCCAUCAUUUAGUUGGGCACUCUAAGGGGACUGCCGGUGAUAAGCCGCGAGGAAGGUGGGGAUGACGUCAAGUCCUCAUGGCCCUUACGGGCUGGGCUACACACGUGCUACAAUGGCGGUGACAAUGGGAUGCAAUGGAGUAAUCCUGCGCAAAUCUCAAAAAGCCGUCUCAGUUCGGAUUGUGCUCUGCAACUCGAGCACAUGAAGUUGGAAUCGCUAGUAGUCGCAGAUCAGCACGCUGCGGUGAAUACGUUCCCGGGC